ACGAUGGUCGGUGGGCUGGUUUUGGUAAGCAGAACGGGCGAUUCGGGAUGAACCGGAAGCGGGGAGAAAGGGCCCGAGAUUGCGUCGACGCGGAUCCCGAAAAGGGCGUCGAUCCGUCGCGACAGCGGGACGGUGGUCAUGGAAGUCGAAAUCCGCUAAGAAGCGUGUAAAAACGUACCCGCCCAACGGAUCGGCCCCGAAAAUUGAUGGCGCUCGAACGCAACCCUCGAACCCCGCCGACGGAGGCUAGGGGAGGCCCCGUCGAGUAGGCGGACGCGCGGGUCGCUUCGACGCUCCCGCGCGAGCGGGGGCGGAGCGGCCCGUGGUGCAGAUCUUGGUGGUAGUAGCGAUCACCCAGGCGAGAACCCUGAGGGCCGAAGUGGAGAAGGGUUUCUCGAGAACGGCACUCGCUCGAGAGUUAGUCGAUCCUAAGCUGCCGGCGGCAGCCACGAAACGGUCGAUCGGGCGCGAGCCCGGCAGCCACGACCGGGCAGCGAAAGGGAAUUGGGAACCUCCUUCCCAAACCCGGAACCGGAACGAGG
Molecule: ribosomal RNA, 542 nt
Filed under: uncultured eukaryote
Lineage: Eukaryota
Description: eukaryotic LSU rRNA
Rfam family: Eukaryotic large subunit ribosomal RNA
Source: RNAcentral